Long non-coding RNA from Mya arenaria, 317 nucleotides. RefSeq lists it as uncharacterized. The transcript has 3 exons. The record is from RefSeq and is a predicted model, not a curated record. NCBI's taxonomy places the organism in Eukaryota, Metazoa, Mollusca, Bivalvia, Myida, Myidae.
ACUAUCUUGAUGGAUCAAGUGAAACAGUUUGCCAGACCGAUGGUACUUGGUCUGAUCAACCACCUGUUUGCAAAUGUGAAGCUCCACCCGCAAUACAGAACGGAUCCUACUCAAUCUCCGGUGACGGACAAACUGUUACUUACAGUUGUAAUGUUAGCAGCUCAUUGGUCGGAAACACGUCCCAGAUAUGUGACUCCGAGGGAACAGGCUGGCUAGACACACAACCGGAGUGCGUCGUCUGCGAUCUACUUACAAGCAUAACCAAUGGUUCAGUCAAUCUCAAUACGGACGGUGAAACUACGUCAGCUACCUUUACA